This 425-nucleotide long non-coding RNA is filed under the name Homo sapiens (human). RNAcentral describes it as "PREDICTED lncRNA (TCONS_00086744)". The record is from RNAcentral. Lineage: Eukaryota; Metazoa; Chordata; Mammalia; Primates; Hominidae.
CCAGGACACAAUUGUGUGCCUCUCAUCACUAGCCAAUGCCUUUGCUUCCAUCGCUUCUAGACCAAUAACGAUACCUCAGUCUACGAGGGAAAUCCUGGAUUGUGAUUGGCAGAUCCCAGAGAUCUUCCUGCUCUCUGCCAUGUGAGGUUCCAACAAGAAGAGGGGCCAUCUGCAAGCCAGGAAGCAGGCCUCACUCAACAUCUGACCCUGCUGGCACCUCAACUUUGGACUUCCAGCCUCCAGAAACUUCAGAAAUAAAUGUCUGUUGUUUGAGCCACCCAAUCUAUGCUAGUUUUGUUAUAGCAGCCCAAACUGACUAAGACACCUUACACAGAGAGAAAAUGUCCAUUAACCAAAAUUUUUAGGACAUGGGGCUCUCUAGGUAAAUUGAGAUUUUGUUGUUGUUGUUAAUUGAUUAUCAAAAA